UUCGAACGCUGGCGGCGUGCUUAACACAUGCAAGUCGAACGGAAAGGCCCUGCUUUUGUGGGGUGCUCGAGUGGCGAACGGGUGAGUAACACGUGAGUAACCUGCCCUUGACUUUGGGAUAACUUCAGGAAACUGGGGCUAAUACCGGAUAGGAGCUCCUGCUGCAUGGUGGGGGUUGGAAAGUUUCGGCGGUUGGGGAUGGACUCGCGGCUUAUCAGCUUGUUGGUGGGGUAGUGGCUUACCAAGGCUUUGACGGGUAGCCGGCCUGAGAGGGUGACCGGCCACAUUGGGACUGAGAUACGGCCCAGACUCCUACGGGAGGCAGCAGUGGGGAAUAUUGCACAAUGGGCGGAAGCCUGAUGCAGCAACGCCGCGUGCGGGAUGACGGCCUUCGGGUUGUAAACCGCUUUCGCCUGUGACGAAGCGUGAGUGACGGUAAUGGGUAAAGAAGCACCGGCUAACUACGUG
This 468-nucleotide ribosomal RNA is filed under the name uncultured bacterium. RNAcentral describes it as "partial 16S ribosomal RNA". It matches the Rfam family "Bacterial small subunit ribosomal RNA", at positions 30 to 507 of the family's 1533-position model. The record is from RNAcentral.